Molecule: ribosomal RNA, 139 nt
Filed under: uncultured bacterium
Lineage: Bacteria
Description: partial 16S ribosomal RNA
Rfam family: Bacterial small subunit ribosomal RNA
Source: RNAcentral
GUGGGGGAUAUUGCACAAUGGGGGAAACCCUGAUGCAGCGACGCCGCGUGGGUGAAGAAGUAUUUCGGUAUGUAAAGCCCUAUCAGCAGGGAAGAAAGAAGACGGUACCUGACUAAGAAGCCCCGGCUAACUACGUGCC